UCCCUGGUGGUCUUGUGGUUAGGACUUAGCGCUCUUACUGCUGUGGCCCGGGUUCAAUUCCUUGUCAGGGAG
This is a non-coding RNA of Danio rerio (zebrafish), 72 nucleotides long. The record is from Rfam. Lineage: Eukaryota; Metazoa; Chordata; Actinopteri; Cypriniformes; Danionidae.